CUGUCAAAAAUGCAAACUAUGCAGGGGAUAAAAGACUACUACAGAAUCAUAAUGGACCUUUUCUCCCACAGCCCACUGGUUAGAAGGAGUCACACAGUCCCGCCUCGCUAGACGGGAGCCGUUAAAGAAUAUCUACAACAGGCCAUCUGCAAAGCCCAACACACAAUAAAAAAAGGUAGUAGAUAUGAAAAAGGCAGUGACUGUGGCUCGAAGCUGAAAGAAAAAUUCACACAGAUGCAUAAUGAUCCAGAUGUUGGAAUUAAAAGCCUUUAUAAUAACUGCCAUAAAUAUGUUAAAGAAUUUAGAAGAAACAGAUUUAAGCAUGAACAUAUGGGGAAUUAAGGCAGAGGAACAAAAAAAAAUCUAACAGAAUACAAGUUCUAGAACUGAAUAACAGUAUCCGAAAUGGAGCAGAUUGGACACAGCAAAAUAAAGAAUCAAUAAACACCAAUACAAGUCAACAGAAAUGGUCCAAACUGAAGCAGAGAGAGGAAAGAAUAUUUAAAACACAAAAGCCGAAUGAGACAUAUUGGAAAAUAGCAAAUAGUCCAGCAUACAUGUAAUUGGAGUAACACAAAAAGGCACAGAGAAAAGUGACAAGAGAAAUGUUUGAAUGCAUGACAUCUUUCAAAGGCUAAAAAAAUACAAUAAAAUAAAUAAUAACCCAGAA
Molecule: long non-coding RNA, 670 nt
Organism: Prionailurus viverrinus (fishing cat)
Lineage: Eukaryota; Metazoa; Chordata; Mammalia; Carnivora; Felidae
Exons: 2
Source: RefSeq, a predicted model, not a curated record